GACGAACGCUGGCGGCGUGCUUAACACAUGCAAGUCGAACGGAAAGGCCCCUUUGGGGGUACUCGAGUGGCGAACGGGUGAGUAACACGUGAGUAACCUGCCCUUGACUUCGGGAUAACUUCAGUAAACUGGGGCUAAUACCGGCUAGGAAUCCUUUCUUCAUGGUUGGGGUUGGAAAGCUUCGUCGGUUUUGGAUGGACUCGCGGCUUAUCAGCUUGUUGGUUGGGUAGUGGCUUACCAAGGCUUUGACGGGUAGCCGGCCUGGGAGGGCGACCGGCCAAAUUGGGAAUGAGAUAAGGCCCAGACUCCUACGGGAGGCAGCAGUGGGGAAUAUUGCAAAAUGGGCGGAAGCCUGAUGCAGCAACGCCGCGUGCGGGAUGACGGCCUUCGGGUUGUAAACCGCUUUCAGCAGGGGCGAAGCUUGUGGUGACGGUACCUGGAGAAGAAGCACCGGCUAACUACGUG
This 465-nucleotide ribosomal RNA is filed under the name uncultured bacterium. Its description in RNAcentral is "partial 16S ribosomal RNA". It matches the Rfam family "Bacterial small subunit ribosomal RNA", at positions 28 to 507 of the family's 1533-position model. The record is from RNAcentral.